CUUGGCGGCCAUAGCGCGGUGGUCCCACCUGAUCCCAUGCCGAACUCAGAAGUGAUCACCACGUGGCGCUAUUUAUGGUCGGGAGACCAACUGAUAGAAGAAACGCCGAUA
RNAcentral lists this ribosomal RNA (111 nucleotides) under Proteus mirabilis. Lineage: Bacteria; Pseudomonadati; Pseudomonadota; Gammaproteobacteria; Enterobacterales; Morganellaceae. The record is from RNAcentral.